AAUCUACUCAAAAAAUAUUUACAACAAAUGAUGAUAAUAUUCAAAAAAUCUAUACUACUUACAAUAGCAUGAGUUUUAAUUUUUUUUCUCUUUCUAAAAAUGUCUCUAUCUUUUUUACGAUUAUUUUCAUACUCGUUAAUUGUGAACCAUUCAGUUUAAAUAAUUAAUCAAAUAAUAAUUUAUUAUCGAAUUUAGAUCUUAAUUUUUUGCCAUUAAAUCUCAUCCAAUGAUUGAGAAAAAAAGUAUUUGUCAUUUUUGUGACAAUAAUACACUCGCAUUAAUAUCAUACUUUAUCAAACGUAAUAUCCGUUAUCUCCUAUCUACGUGUUUCUCAAAUAUUUUUUUUCUCAUGCAUAAUACCCGCCAUUUAUCCAAUGUAAUAUUCCAUAUCAUCCAAUCAUAAUAUUUCAUCCCAUCAAAUACCUUAUCGAAAUAAAUAACAUAAUAAAACAAACUUAUAAUUUCUCUUUAUUUCUAACGAAUAAUAUUUUUUUCUAUUAAAUAUUUUUUAAGGUGAAUAUUUAAAAAUAUUUCAAUUUUAUCUACUAAUAUUUAAUUGUUAUAUUAACUUUUUAUUGAUUUCAAUUGAUAAUCAAAUUUAAAUUUAAAUUUAAAUAUCUAUAUAAAUUUUAAUUUUAUUUAAUUUACAAUUUUUAUUUCAUCUAAAAUUUAGAGUUGAAAUUUAAUUACAUAAUUUAACUUUAAAUUAUAAAUUUUUAAAUUCAAAUUAAAAUUUGAGUAUAAAUCGUGAAUUAAAUAUAAUUUUGAAUAUUAAUUUUGGAUUAAGAGUUAAAAUUUUAAUUAAAUUAUAUCAAAAUUAAAAUUUGAAUUUUGACUUAAACAAAAAUUAAAAUUUUGAUAUUUUUAGUUUAAAACAUAUAUUUAAAUUUUAGAUUCGUCAGAAACCAAAAAAUAUAGUGCAAUAUUCAAUGUUUCCCACACAUAAUACUCGUCAUCUACGUAUUUCUAACAUAUUUUAAUACCUUUGCAUAUAAUAUUUCUACUGCUCAAUCUCAUCUAAUUAUAAUAUUUAUUCAUCUACACGUUUCUCAAAUAUAGAGCAUAUUUUAAUAAAUUUGCAUAAAAUAUCUCCACUAUCCAAUCUCAUCUCAUUAUAAUACUUAUUCACACAUGGAGCAUAUCUUUUUUUCAAAUGUAGAGCAUAUUUUUUUAGCAAUAUAUAUAUUUUUCAUUUUUUUUUUAUUUCUACUUAUACGUUUCUCAAAUAUAUUUUUCUUUAGUAAUAUCCUUUCUCAUUUGUCACAUCGUCUUCCUCCUUAUCUUCAUCGCUAGCACCGGCACAUUAUGAUUUGCCGCAGCUGGAGAGGUAUUUUGAUCCCAUCUGAUUCAUUUUAAUGUAUCAUAAUAUAGUUUCCCUCCCAAUCCGUCUUUCAUAUGCCAAAAUUUUUUCUUUUAAUGUGCCUUUGUACUCUUUUACUUUUUAAGCUCUUUAAAUACUAAGAAGUUUGUAUCUUCAUGACCUUUUAUCUCUCAUGCUAACUGCGCAAGCUGUCGUCCUCUCUGGCAUAUCUUUGUUGUCAUCGCCAGCGCCAGUGCUGGCACGUCGCCGUCGUCAUCAUCUUCGCAGGCACAUCGUCGUCAUCGCCUUCGCCGGCACAUCGUUAUCAUCCUCUGUGCCGGCACAUCGUCGUCCUCCUCCUCGUCGGCACAUCUUCGUCGUCGCCUUCGUCGGCACAUUGUAGUCAUCCUACUUGGCGGAACAAUCAUUUUCUGACAGCUAGAGAGGUAUUUUGAUCCUAUUACAUUUAUUUUGCAGACGUAGUAUAGUUUUCCAUCCAAUUUGUUUUUCAUAUACCUA
RNAcentral lists this long non-coding RNA (1819 nucleotides) under Ananas comosus (pineapple). RNAcentral's name for it is "long non-coding RNA (ACOM_LNC015477)". The record is from RNAcentral. Lineage: Eukaryota; Viridiplantae; Streptophyta; Magnoliopsida; Poales; Bromeliaceae.